Molecule: long non-coding RNA, 4124 nt
Organism: Numida meleagris (helmeted guineafowl)
Lineage: Eukaryota; Metazoa; Chordata; Aves; Galliformes; Numididae
Exons: 4
Source: RefSeq, a predicted model, not a curated record
UUAGUAAUAAUAAAGUAAGUUUAUUAUAUUUUAGUAAGUCUAUAAAAUAUUACUAGUUUCUUUGAAAAAAAUUAUUCAUUGGUUAUUAGUAUGAAGUAAUGUACUAUACAUCACUUUACUGAAUGAUUUUCACAGAAUCAUGGAACCAUAGAAUCCUAAGAGUUGAGAGGGACCUCAUGAAGAUGCUAAAGUGUAUCGGUCCCAGCACUGACACCUGUGGGACACCACUCACCACUGAUCUCCAUCCAGACACUGAGCCAUUGACCACCACUCUUUGGACUUGAUCCUGCAGCCAGGAUCAUCCAACAAACAGUCCACCCAUCAUAUCCAUAUCUUUCCAAUAUGGAGGGAAUGAUGUUGUGAAGUACUGUGUCAAAGUUCUUACUGAAGUCCAGAUAAAUGACAUCAAUGACACAUUUUGUAAUUACAUUAUUAUUCAUUAGAUUUACAUGGCAUGCACAAAUAUUUUAAACAAAAUAUAUACAUGUGCGUUCAUAUGCAUGUGUAUUGCGUAUAAAUACAUUGUUAUAGAUGUAUUCUUAUCUAGCUUUGCUCAAGGCCAAUCAAGACUAACUCUAUCUAGCAUUCCAGCUACAAUUUAAAUGUCUUCUUUAUUCUUUCAUUUCUCUAGAAAGAUAAUUUAAAGGUCUUCCAUUCAAUAGAAAUGUUCUCUUGCUUUUUUCACAGAUCAUCAGACAUCAAGAAACUCCUGAAUCUACUCAUCUAAAUGAAUCAUUAGCACUUCAAGCAAUUCUUGCUCAAAGUACCAUACAGCAUAUACCCUUCAUGGUAUAUGCUCUGAAGGUGUUUGUAGAAAGCAUUUUAGAAUGUUACAUUGAUAUUAAGCAUUUUACUUAGGCAAAGGAAAAUAUUUUUAUUUGGAAUUCCAUGAAACAUUCAUCCCAGAAUUCUUGGCUAGUUAAUGCACUACGUACUGCAUAAAAAAUAACAAUGCAUUAAAAAGGCACAUGCUUCCAUAUAAAAUGGCUGUUCUGAAAGCAAGGCCUCGUAUUUUAUUAUGUUUGCCACAAUGUCAGAGGUGGAUGUUGGUGGUAUGGCAGUAGAGGCUGAACCUUCCCACCAAUAUUCCCUUACAUUUUGUUGCCAUGUGACAGAUGGCAGCAGAAGGGCAGUCUGACAGAGAGGCAUCUGACAUGGAAGAGUGUAUGAAGCAAAGGUGUGUCCAUGAAUUUCUCUAUGUGGAAAAGAGUGCGCAUACUGACAUUGAUGUUCGUUGAAUGUUUAUGGAGACCAAACAGUGGAUGUGACCGCAGUGAGUCAGUGGGUGCAGAAACAACAACAAUAAAACAUUCAUCUUUUGUGACCAGUGGCAAUGACCAGCAUUAUCUCUUCAAGUGUAAAUGCAUGGAGGUGCAGAAGGACAGAGAUACUACUGCUUGAGUAAUUUCCAUGUCACAGUGCGGCUUCAUGGUCAGCGCAACAAUCCAUAAGCUAGCCAGAAGAAAGACACAAGCCACUUGGGACCACCAGAAAACAAAGAGUUCCCUUACAAAUCUAAGGACUCUCAUGGGACUCUAUGUGUCUGCUGCAGCACUAAGUGGCGGAAAAAUACUCUGCAUAUCAUACAGUAAAGUAAUCCUUCCUCUUGAAUCUGGCACUUCUACAAGGGGCCAUUCACUUCGUUCAGUGUAACCAAUCUCUUCAAUCUCUCAUUGACUGUUCUGGCCUGUUUAAAUCACCUAGAUAUUAUUCACUUGCUUGAAUAUCUAUGCUAUGACACUGGUUUUGUAGGUGAGUAACGCAGAAUAUUCACACUUGCCCUUCAGUCUGAAUUUCUUGCAUCUGUCCUAGAGCUGGGCAGAUUGCCUUUUACAUCUGUAUUUCCAGCAGUUUGGAACUGCUGGAAGCAGUUUGGCUGGAAGCAGUUUGGCUGGAAGCCAAACUUCCACCUAGCUGCUUGUUCACUCUUCAUUCUCAGCAGGACCAGAAAAGAGCCUAGGAAUGAGAAAGCACUUGGGUUAAGGUAAAAAGGAGACUGCUUACCCAUUUCCAUCGGAGACAAAACAGACUUGACGUUGGAAAUAAUUUACUGUCAAUUAUGACUAUAUAUACACAUACAUGUAUGUAAUUAGUGAUGUUGGGUAUUGGGAAGCAAAAUCAAAAAAGAGAAACAAAAAUUAAAACACUUCAGAAAAUUAUUUUCCUCCCAUCCCAGGUUUCUCCCUCCCACUUCACUUCAGACUCCUCUGCUCUACCUUACACCCCCCUUGUUUUGUCAAAGGUUUCACUUAGUCCUCUCAGCAAGACAGUGAGCACUGGAAGCAGAGAGCUGUCAUGCUCAGUACACAGCUGUUUCUUUGCACAUCUUUCCUCUUCUGCAGCAUAAGCUCUCCACAGACUACUGAGGAUUUCUGGAGAAUCAUGGAGCAUCUUCAUAUUGUCUUCAUUAAGUAAACCCAGGUCCAGCCUCUCUCUCUCUUAAUAUGUGGGACAUCUGCAUGCAACAGAAUGUCACACAAACCUGUGUAAAGCAGGAAAAGAGAAGAUAAUGACAACUGUAAUCACUUUGUGAAUUGACUCCUGCGGAACAAUUUACUCCAAUGCAUAUAGUUAUUAUGUAAUUAUUUAUAUUAAUAAUGAAAAGAUAAUUAAUAUUUAUUAAUUAAACUAAGCUUUUCUAUUUCCCGCUACCUGGAGGUCUUAGAAACCUGCUGUUAUCAUUAAAUAAUCAGAGAGUACUUUACUGACUUCUUCAUAAGACAGAAAGGAAUCCACUGUUGGUGACGCAUGACCAAAGACAUCCAGCCAGGCUAUUGGUAAAACAAAGGGCAGGACAACAAGAGACUGGGUUUACUUCAUCUUCUACCAAGAGAAGGAAGAUGCCAAGGGAAGCUUUCUGGAUGAAAAUUUUCUGGUUUAGUUGCCGCUAUGAACAGGUUAAAAUCAAAUGUUAAACUACAAAACAAACAAACAAAACAAAAUAAACCAGAAAAACUCUCAAAAUUUAAUUUGUUGAAUCUCCUUAUCUGACACUUUAAUAUUAAAUGAGGUUUUUGUCUCUUUUUUUUCUGCUUGCAAAUCAAUGAAUGAUUGUUUGAAACUACCAAUUUAUUGUUCUUUUGGUUAUUUAAAUGUACUGAAAUUUUCUUUCAAAUUUGUUUGUGUUAAUAGAACUUCCCAUAUAAGUUACGAAGUGAUACAGCUCAGGUGGGUCAUGUGCAUCUUUAACUUAUUUUCAUUAGUGUAUUCAGCCAAAAGAAGAAAAUGUUAACAUCUAGAAUCCCACUGUCAUUUUAAGCAAGUACCAUAAAAGUCAGUCAGUCAGUUGCUGUGGUAAUGGCCUGUGUGGUUAUUGUGCUUUAAUUCAGAUCUGAUGUACUUUGUAGAACUGCAUGCAGGUGAAGCUUGAGCUUUGAAAUGCAGUUCUUCUAAGAAUUCCUUAAGCAUGUAUUGAAUUGAGUGCUUUGAAGUUAAUUCAGCUUUCUAAUUAUUACUUUAUAGAGUUCAAAGAGUUUAUGCUUUCAACAAAGUUCAGUGUGUUUAUCUAUUACCUACUGUUACUGCUUAGAAACAGUGCAGAGAGCAGUACGUAGCCCAACACUAUUACAGUGAUCUUGACACCAGGCAGUCAUACUCUUUUUUUUUCCCCCAACGAGUAUAAAUUAUUUAAUUUCCCUAACUUCUAAAUUCAUUUUUCUCUUUUUUAGUAUCUUAAUUUGCAAUCAUUAAUUCCAUAAACUUAUUUCUAAUAGAUCUAUUACAUUUUAUAUAGCUCUACAUACACUGUGCUCAUUCUUUUCUUUCCUGGGUACUUAUGCAGACUAUGAUGUCUUAUUAUUACAUACCUGUUUUAUAAAAAAACUAAGAUCUAGAUAGUUUUCAAAAUGCUUAACCUUUGUUUUAACUCAUUUCUGGCUCUUUUCACCUCUCCAUUCAGCUAUAGUUCAGAAUAAAUAAGCAGAUAAAAUCAUCAAUCAAUUAGACAUAUUGCCAUUACAAGAACAAUGUUCUAGUUUGGACAAGCUUUGCACUGUAAGCUUUGUGCUAAAGUGUUUUGAUGAGACAGGCAGAAAAAUAAAUUUAUCUAGGUGCUUCUCUAAAAUAGUUGAUAAUUGACUAGCCUUCUUUCUUCCUCUGUUCUUACCUAUCUGUAACACAUACGU